RNAcentral lists this ribosomal RNA (2430 nucleotides) under Escherichia coli. Its description in RNAcentral is "partial 23S ribosomal RNA". It matches the Rfam family "Bacterial large subunit ribosomal RNA", at positions 534 to 2925 of the family's 2925-position model. The record is from RNAcentral. Lineage: Bacteria; Pseudomonadati; Pseudomonadota; Gammaproteobacteria; Enterobacterales; Enterobacteriaceae.
GGGAGUGAAAAAGAACCUGAAACCGUGUACGUACAAGCAGUGGGAGCACAGAGCAAUCUGUGUGACUGCGUACCUUUUGUAUAAUGGGUCAGCGACUUAUAUUCUGUAGCAAGGUUAACCGAAUAGGGGAGCCGAAGGGAAACCGAGUCUUAACUGGGCGUUAAGUUGCAGGGUAUAGACCCGAAACCCGGUGAUCUAGCCAUGGGCAGGUUGAAGGUUGGGUAACACUAACUGGAGGACCGAACCGACUAAUGUUGAAAAAUUAGCGGAUGACUUGUGGCUGGGGGUGAAAGGCCAAUCAAACCGGGAGAUAGCUGGUUCUCCCCGAAAGCUAUUUAGGUAGCGCCUCGUGAAUUCAUCUCCGGGGGUAGAGCACUGUUUCGGCAAGGGGGUCAUCCCGACUUACCAACCCGAUGCAAACUGCGAAUACCGGAGAAUGUUAUCACGGGAGACACACGGCGGGUGCUAACGUCCGUCGUGAAGAGGGAAACAACCCAGACCGCCAGCUAAGGUCCCAAAGUCAUGGUUAAGUGGGAAACGAUGUGGGAAGGCCCAGACAGCCAGGAUGUUGGCUUAGAAGCAGCCAUCAUUUAAAGAAAGCGUAAUAGCUCACUGGUCGAGUCGGCCUGCGCGGAAGAUGUAACGGGGCUAAACCAUGCACCGAAGCUGCGGCAGCGACACUGUGUGUUGUUGGGUAGGGGAGCGUUCUGUAAGCCUGUGAAGGUGUGCUGUGAGGCAUGCUGGAGGUAUCAGAAGUGCGAAUGCUGACAUAAGUAACGAUAAAGCGGGUGAAAAGCCCGCUCGCCGGAAGACCAAGGGUUCCUGUCCAACGUUAAUCGGGGCAGGGUGAGUCGACCCCUAAGGCGAGGCCGAAAGGCGUAGUCGAUGGGAAACAGGUUAAUAUUCCUGUACUUGGUGUUACUGCGAAGGGGGGACGGAGAAGGCUAUGUUGGCCGGGCGACGGUUGUCCCGGUUUAAGCGUGUAGGCUGGUUUUCCAGGCAAAUCCGGAAAAUCAAGGCUGAGGCGUGAUGACGAGGCACUACGGUGCUGAAGCAACAAAUGCCCUGCUUCCAGGAAAAGCCUCUAAGCAUCAGGUAACAUCAAAUCGUACCCCAAACCGACACAGGUGGUCAGGUAGAGAAUACCAAGGCGCUUGAGAGAACUCGGGUGAAGGAACUAGGCAAAAUGGUGCCGUAACUUCGGGAGAAGGCACGCUGAUAUGUAGGUGAAGUCCCUCGCGGAUGGAGCUGAAAUCAGUCGAAGAUACCAGCUGGCUGCAACUGUUUAUUAAAAACACAGCACUGUGCAAACACGAAAGUGGACGUAUACGGUGUGACGCCUGCCCGGUGCCGGAAGGUUAAUUGAUGGGGUCAGCGCAAGCGAAGCUCUUGAUCGAAGCCCCGGUAAACGGCGGCCGUAACUAUAACGGUCCUAAGGUAGCGAAAUUCCUUGUCGGGUAAGUUCCGACCUGCACGAAUGGCGUAAUGAUGGCCAGGCUGUCUCCACCCGAGACUCAGUGAAAUUGAACUCGCUGUGAAGAUGCAGUGUACCCGCGGCAAGACGGAAAGACCCCGUGAACCUUUACUAUAGCUUGACACUGAACAUUGAGCCUUGAUGUGUAGGAUAGGUGGGAGGCUUUGAAGUGUGGACGCCAGUCUGCAUGGAGCCGACCUUGAAAUACCACCCUUUAAUGUUUGAUGUUCUAACGUGGACCCGUGAUCCGGGUUGCGGACAGUGUCUGGUGGGUAGUUUGACUGGGGCGGUCUCCUCCUAAAGAGUAACGGAGGAGCACGAAGGUUGGCUAAUCCUGGUCGGACAUCAGGAGGUUAGUGCAAUGGCAUAAGCCAGCUUGACUGCGAGCGUGACGGCGCGAGCAGGUGCGAAAGCAGGUCAUAGUGAUCCGGUGGUUCUGAAUGGAAGGGCCAUCGCUCAACGGAUAAAAGGUACUCCGGGGAUAACAGGCUGAUACCGCCCAAGAGUUCAUAUCGACGGCGGUGUUUGGCACCUCGAUGUCGGCUCAUCACAUCCUGGGGCUGAAGUAGGUCCCAAGGGUAUGGCUGUUCGCCAUUUAAAGUGGUACGCGAGCUGGGUUUAGAACGUCGUGAGACAGUUCGGUCCCUAUCUGCCGUGGGCGCUGGAGAACUGAGGGGGGCUGCUCCUAGUACGAGAGGACCGGAGUGGACGCAUCACUGGUGUUCGGGUUGUCAUGCCAAUGGCACUGCCCGGUAGCUAAAUGCGGAAGAGAUAAGUGCUGAAAGCAUCUAAGCACGAAACUUGCCCCGAGAUGAGUUCUCCCUGACCCUUUAAGGGUCCUGAAGGAACGUUGAAGACGACGACGUUGAUAGGCCGGGUGUGUAAGCGCAGCGAUGCGUUGAGCUAACCGGUACUAAUGAACCGUGAGGCUUAACCUUACAACGCCGAAGGUGUUU